RNAcentral lists this transfer-messenger RNA (373 nucleotides) under Chitinophagaceae. RNAcentral describes it as "OLB11 sp016787065 Standard tmRNA". It matches the Rfam family "transfer-messenger RNA". Rfam says of the family: Bacterial tmRNA, also known as 10Sa RNA or SsrA, is named for its dual tRNA and mRNA-like properties. Its role is to liberate the mRNA from a stalled ribosome. To accomplish this part of the tmRNA is used as a reading frame that ends in a translation stop signal. The record is from RNAcentral. Lineage: Bacteria; Pseudomonadati; Bacteroidota; Chitinophagia; Chitinophagales. RNAcentral also lists the same sequence under 1 other name.
GGGGCUGACCGGUUUUGACAGCAUAGGUCUUUGAGAGUGUAAGCAUGUCGUGCGUUGGAUAAUUAGCACGUUAAUCUGAAUAUUCAAACCAUAAAUGGCGAAACUUCUUUCGCUAUGGCUGCCUAAUCUGAUUAGAUAGUCAUAAUGGCCGCUCAUUCCAGGUAGAUUCGUAACCUACGUUGGGCCGCCUACAUCAGCGAAUACGAAUUGCUGCAGAGGAAUGCCGUGACUUCUGCUUAAGACUUAUCCGGAUAAGGGAGGAAUUAGUUUGUUCUGUUCUUGUUCUUCCUCGAAAACUAAUUCAGAAAUAAGCAUGUAGAAAGCUUUUGAUGAAUAUGUUUGGACAGGGGUUCGACUCCCCUCAGUUCCACCU